RNAcentral lists this ribosomal RNA (509 nucleotides) under uncultured bacterium. Its description in RNAcentral is "bacterial SSU rRNA". It matches the Rfam family "Bacterial small subunit ribosomal RNA", at positions 501 to 1009 of the family's 1533-position model. The record is from RNAcentral.
CUACGUGCCAGCAGCCGCGGUAAUACGUAGGUGGCAAGCGUUGUCCGGAAUUAUUGGGCGUAAAGCGCGCGCAGGCGGCCUAUCCAGUCUGUCUUAAAAGUUCGGGGCUCAACCCCGUGAUGGGAUGGAAACUAGUAGGCUAGAGUAUCGGAGAGGAAAGCGGAAUUCCUAGUGUAGCGGUGAAAUGCGUAGAUAUUAGGAAGAACACCAGUGGCGAAGGCGACUUUCUGGACGAAAACUGACGCUGAGGCGCGAAAGCCAGGGGAGCGAACGGGAUUAGAUACCCCGGUAGUCCUGGCCGUAAACGAUGGGUACUAGGUGUAGGAGGUAUCGACCCCUUCUGUGCCGGAGUUAACGCAAUAAGUACCCCGCCUGGGGAGUACGACCGCAAGGUUGAAACUCAAAGGAAUUGACGGGGGCCCGCACAAGCGGUGGAGUAUGUGGUUUAAUUCGACGCAACGCGAAGAACCUUACCAGGUCUUGACAUUGAUGGACAGAACUAGAGAUAG